GCGUUGAAAAGCUCGGGGAUGACUUGUGGGUAGCGGUGAAAUUCCAAUCGAGCCCGGAGAUAGCUGGUUCUCCCCGAAAUAGCUUUAGGGCUAGCCUCAAGGUGAGAGAUACGGAGGUAGAGCACUGAAUGUCCUAGGGGGUAUUGCACCUACCGAAGACUAUCAAACUCCGAAUGCCGUCAUCUUAUACUUGGGAGUCAGACUGUGGGUGAUAAGAUUCAUAGUCGAAAGGGCAACAGCCAAGAUCGUCAGCUAAGGUACCUAAAUGUAGGUUAAGUGGUAAAGGAUGUGGGAUUGCACAGACAACCAGGAUGUUGGCUUAGAAGCAGCCACUCAUUCAAAGAGUGCGUAAUAGCUCACUGGUCGAGUGAUCCUGCGCCGAAGAUUUCCGGGGCUAAAACUUACUACCAAAGCUACGGCAUCAGUAAUGAUGGGUAGGGGAGCUUCCCAUACGGGUUGAAGCAUGACCGUAAGGACAUGUGGACAGUAUGGGAGUGAGAAUGUUGGCAUGAGUAGCGAGAUGUGGGUGGGAAUCCCACAGGCCGUAAACCCAAGGUUUCCAGGGGAAGGUUCGUCCGCCCUGGGUUAGUCGGGACCUAAGCUGAGGCCGAAAGGCGGAGGUGAUGGACAACAGGUUGAUAUUCCUGUACUACCGAUAACCGUUUGAGAGAAGGGAUGACACAGUAGGAUAAGCUAAGCACACUGUUGGUUAUGUGUGCCCAAGCAUUGAGGCAGUCAAAGUAGG
This 745-nucleotide ribosomal RNA is filed under the name Clostridioides difficile. RNAcentral's name for it is "bacterial LSU rRNA". It matches the Rfam family "Bacterial large subunit ribosomal RNA", at positions 786 to 1536 of the family's 2925-position model. The record is from RNAcentral. Lineage: Bacteria; Bacillati; Bacillota; Clostridia; Peptostreptococcales; Peptostreptococcaceae.